Molecule: non-coding RNA, 24 nt
Filed under: Mus musculus (house mouse)
Lineage: Eukaryota; Metazoa; Chordata; Mammalia; Rodentia; Muridae
Source: RNAcentral
UGUAGACUGGUUGCAGCACUGUAA